UACUCCGUCUUUUGUUAUUGUUUUGAUUGAGAGACCCCUAGCGGCUGAAAUUACAUAUUGUACAUUUAACAAAACUUGAAAUUUUAGUUCUUGAGGGUCAGUAAGUCACCUGUACUAUUACACAAUUUCAGUUCCCAACAUAACUGCAGUUUACAGUGCAUUGUGGGAAGCUUAAAAUUAGAUUAGUUAUAUAGGUUAGAUCCAGAUCUAGAUGUUCGUAGAAUUAAAUGAGAAGUAUGCAUAUUUAGGCUGUAUGAAAAUAAAAAAAAGUAAAUAAUAAAUGUUGCUCAUUUUGCAUAGUAUGAUCCUUAUAGCUCCAAACCAAAUGAGGUGAGUAAAGUUGAAGACUUUGUUCUGUUCUGACUGCUUUUCACUGUCAACUAUGAGGUGUUGUCAUAAAUUUUAGUAGAAGCCACAUUCCUUUGAGUUGUUCACUCUCCUCUUUUUUUAAUGCACACUAAGUGUCUGAAUUUGUCAGAAAAUGCUAUUAAAUGUGUAAAUUCUUGACUUGUCUAACCCAUGUUAACUUUUAUUGUGUUUUAGAACUAUUAGUUAUUUUUUAUAUUAUGAAAUUCAAACUGUGCUUCAAAAUUUGUUAAUUUUAAGUCACACAUAUUAUUGCAUUUGAUUUAUUAAAUAUUUACCAGUGUAAGUGUAUUAUUUAGCCAUGGUUUGAAGUUGGAAAUGAAGGUUUAUUGAUUUUAGUCUGUAUGUUUAUGUGGUUAAUCCAUAUUGCAACGUCAAAGUGUUUUCUCACUGGUUCUCAUGAUGUGUUAACAUUGACGACAGAAUGAGUGAGUAUUCAAUAUGCAGGCGCGUAAAAUCUUCAAAUAUUCAAAGUAUAGUCUUCAAAUAUUCAAUAGGAAUAAAAUUAUCCCCCUUUUAUUUGAGGAUCAGUUUUUCUCCCCACAUAAAGGAAUUAAUUAGUAAUGCGUUCCCUUGAAAGAGGACCAAGAAUCCUUUUUCAUUCAAAACACGCCUCCUAGACUAUAAAACCUUGACAACUCUGUGUCAGGGCUCUUCUUCUUCUUUUUGGCUUGCUCGCUGGCUUGCUGACCAUUUUUGUUUCUUCUGUUUUCUCUCAGCUGUGAUGGCUGUCCAUGCAUUUUGGGCGUUGUCCUUUUUACUCUGACUGAGAGCUGAAAGCUCCAGAAAAAAAGCAAAAGACUGCUAAGAUGCCUAAGCCACAAGCCAAGACACACCAGUUGCCAUUUGAAUAAUCUAUUAUUUUUGUUAUCUUCUAUUUUUAUCAUGUAGUUAAAUUUUUUUAAAGACUUUUCCAAGGACUCUUCUGAUUACCCAUUAGUGUAGAGCUCCUUGUAUCUAACUCUCCAGCCUGCCGCUGCCCUGAGAAUGGGACAUCUCCCUGCUGUGGUUGUCCACUACAUGGCCUCAGGUAGUGUGAGACUAGAUUCAUUCUCAUGAGAAGCAGUGAACCAUAGUUGUUUCACUGAACCUGCUGCAGCCUUCUCAUGUGGCUGUUACUCUGGUGACACCAGGAUCACUGAGUUUGUUCGCCUUGCUCUGUGCUUUCCAGGAAGUUUGCCCAUCAUCAAGCCUUUAUCACCACUGAAACAGUAGGAAAACCUUCUGUCUCACAGUGGAUACAAGAGUUAUUCAAAAAUUAAAUUUUUAUUGGCUGUAGUUGGAGUCUAGGUCCCUCAUUGCGUUUUUGACUGAUAACAUUCAUUCAUUCUGUUGGCAAUAACUUGUUAAUUUAAUUGACCUAUUCAUCAAUGCAUUCAUUCAUCCAUUGUGAUUACGUAUUUUGUUUAGUUUUCCCUCUUCACUCCUAUUCCCUGGUAGUUCAAUAAAUAUGUAAGUCAUUGUAUUUAUCUAUUCCUGUACAACAGAGAUGGAGGUCAAUGCAUUCACAGUUACAUUAAAAUAGAUAUUAUAAUAUUUAUUUUAUGUAUUGUUUUGUGUUUGAUCAGAAGAAAAGAGAAGGAAGACUACAAGGCGUAUCAUUGGCUGUACCAGCGUUUCAUUUUUAUAGACAUAAACUGCAGUGUCAGAUCAUGUACAGCACAAGAGGGCUUCAGGGGUUUUGGCUGACAGAUGGAAAAAGCAUGGAGAAGUUAUGAUCCUUUCUGAGAAGGUUUGCACAAGUCACAAAAGAGAUGACUCCUUCCCAUCAGCUUGACCUCGACUUCUUCAUUAUGGGAGGAGAAAAUCAGCUGAUUAGUUCUCACGCAACCUACAACACACUUGCAUCGCAAAUGCUUACCUACCGCCCAUGCUCCGUGAUCCACAUUCCUCGGCAACAUACCGCCCACGACUAGAUCCAGCAAUACCAACGUGAUAUCUCCUUCACCACCACAUCCACAUGGAACCCUUCUCCUCCAGACACCGCGCUUCUGAUCAGCUGGGAUCCAGACGCUCCACACGCAUCCAUGCAAUGGCCCACUCGGACGCAGCUCUUUUCCAAGCGAUUAACAUCUUCAACCGGAUGUUUGCUCACCUCCGGCGAGCUCUCAAGGAGACGGUCGUCCCACUCCUACGAAACGAUGAUAAAGACAAACUUUCCAACUCUAUGCAGACUCUACUUCCAUCAACUCUCUUGCUGGCAGCUCAAAUCCUCCCGCUCUUCCGGAUUCAUUGUCCGCCGCCGGGCCGACACGCACCGAUGAUGUCACAACGCCGCCUACUACAACAGAGCGCAGACUUCUUCAGCCCCGGCUGAAGGCCAGGCUGAACUCUGGAUACAAAUCCCGUUUCGCCGAACCGACAAUAAAGCCAGGUUCUUCCUGCUCCUUUCUGCCUCCACUUCCACCACCGCUCCGGACAGCCGCUCACUUCCACCCAACGCCACCCGUACGCUGCACGACAAUGACGUCAUGAUUCUCAGCUUGCAAAGGUUAUGCAAGCUGAGAAUUUCAGCUAUGAAAACAUAAGUAAGAAUAAUGGAGGAGAUCAUCAAGCCCACAAUGUGUGCUGACACCACAGAGCCCAGCCCCUCCACCUCAGGCACAUCUUCUGUGGCACCCUGUACCUCAACCUCUCCCAUGGCUACCCCUAGCCCUCCAACCCCUUCACCCAAAAAGAAGAGGAAGACAAUGAAGCUUGAUUUAAAUAUAACUUAUCACAUAGAAGUAUGGGGAAAUAACAUACAAAUACAAUUUUCAUUGUGGAGAGCCAUAAGAAUUGUAAAUAAACUGCUUACUAGGAACCAACAAAUUCACCGUUUGUCAAAUUUAAGACUCUAAAAUUCAAAGCUUUGGUCGGCUUUAAAAUGUUUCAGUUAAAAAUGAACUAUUACCUGAAAGUAUCAUAAAGUUGUUUGAAAGGUCAAGCCACGGAUGCAGCCUCUGUCUCACUUAGCCUGAAAGGGGUUGUUUUGUGUCUGCUCAAUGCCUUUCUCUUCUGAUUGGCUAAACUGUUUUCUGAGUGACGCAAGCCCACAGGUCAACCACAGGUAACAGAUUGUAGCACACGGAGAGCAGAGGAGAGGAGAGAAACUAGAGCCACCGUAAAUCACCUCAAAACAGAGAAGACACUCUCACACUGAGUUGAAAUGAAACAAGUGCACAUAAACUAGGUAAAUAACAUAAAUAAACAUUUUGUUUCUUUCAGGAGGGGCGAGCUGCACCUCCAAGGCAAUAGAGGCAAACGCUGAGCAUAUAGUUGUGAAAUCACAACCUUACAGAAGUCCAAAUGGCUCAUUCAAAGGCUUAGCUUCUGAGUACGGGCUGUGUGCAUUUCUGCAUGAACUGAGCAUUUUGAUACUUUCACAGUAUUUAUUUAAGACCUGGACUUGCUUUAUAAUCAAAACAGAAAUGGAAAUCUCCCUUCCUACAAUAUCUCCCCUUUAAAAUGAGAAAAGUUCAAUAUGAUUUGAGAAAAUGAGAGCAACAUUUGCAUGUAUGAACUGAUUGUGAGGACUAAUGCAAAGAAAUCACUGUAUUUAAGUCAAAGGGGUGAAUUUAUGGAACAGGUAUAGUGAGGAACAUUAGCAAAAUGUUUAAAAAUAAUUUACUGAACCAAUAUAAAAAUGAAUGAUCAGAAAGGAACAUUGGCACUCCUUUUUUUGUUCGAUGUUUCUUCUUGAAGCCAAAUAGGAUGUGUUGUAUAAAGGGUUGGAACAAUAUGAUGUAGUUUCAGUCUACACCUUUUUCAGACUGUAGGAAUCUUUGUCAUGUUAUUGUGUUGUUUCCAGCUGUGGUAUUUGAGUAACUGUAUUUUUAUGCAUGCGCACACACACACACACACACACACACACACACACACACACACAUAACCUAAUUGUCUCUGUUAUUGGUUGCAGGCUGAAAUAAAUUUCAAUUUCAAUAAUGUAUCCUGAUACAAAUCACAUGUUAAUGUGACCUUGUUUCCAUCAGGUAGAAAGGGAUGACCCUUUCUACUCUGACCCUGUCAACAUGAACAAUCUGAAAAUUCAUCUGUGAUUGCUUUGGUCUUGGACAGCCAGCUCCCAACAGUAUUUAGUCUAUGAAGCUGAUUUAAAAAAUACUAAAUCAGUUUGUACUUAUCUCUCAAAUAAUAUAUUAUGCAGGUUUUUGUGAGAGCUUCACUUCAGCAACAAAGAAAGUUCUCAUGAUGACACAUCUUGAAAGUCUUUUGGUUAGAAUCCCAGCUGUUUUUGACUCUGUUAAAAAGUUAAAACAAGAACAAUCUUGACAGCUGUCAAAUUUAAUUUCUUGAAAUGACAUUUCUGUAGAUGUCAGUGAUAAACAAAGAUUAUUUGGUAGCUUCCAGGGGAAUUUUGGUGCUUCAGUUGUGUAAGGAACGUAACAUGUACCAGUGGUACUGCAGGCGUCAAUCCAGCCCCGGCCCUUUGUCACAUGUCAUCCACGUCUCUGUUCUGUCCCGCUCCAUCAUAAACUACCCAACAAAAACAGCAGAAGUACUAGAAAGCAAUCUCAAUAAUGUGCACUUUGACUUGUACAGUGCAGUGAAUCAGUGCUAAUGCAGGGCUUUUCACUCUGUUUCCUGGACUAAUGCCACGACCCUGAGGUCACUGGGAAGUCGUCCAAGUAAAUCUCAUCUGCACAACUGCUUGUCUUUUUGAUUUUCUAAUAAACAGACAUGCCACCCCCA
Thunnus maccoyii (southern bluefin tuna) is the source of this 5055-nucleotide long non-coding RNA. RefSeq lists it as uncharacterized. The transcript has 4 exons. The record is from RefSeq and is a predicted model, not a curated record. Lineage: Eukaryota; Metazoa; Chordata; Actinopteri; Scombriformes; Scombridae.